Molecule: transfer RNA, 72 nt
Filed under: bacterium
Lineage: Bacteria
Description: tRNA-Val
Rfam family: tRNA
About the family: Transfer RNA (tRNA) molecules are approximately 80 nucleotides in length.
Source: RNAcentral
GCGCGAUUAGCUCAGCGGUAGAGCAUUGCAUUCACAUUGCAGGGGUCACAGGUUCGAAUCCUGUAUCGCGCA